UCAAUUUUUUCCUCCUCACUUUUCUUCUCUUUUCUCUGUUGUUUCUUUCAUCUCUUAUCAGACCCAAACAAAUAAAAACCCUAAUCCACAAAUUCAAAUCAAGACAUGCUUGAAACUUUUCGCCCUAAAAAACAGUUCGACCCUUACGCUCAGGCACCCAAUGACUUGCUAGCAGCCCACCAGCUCCUGCCCUCCAGCUACAAAGUAAUGAAAAGGAUGGUUAGACAAUCGAUUCAAGGAUGAAACAGAGCCAAUAAAAGAAUUGAUAAUUUUAAUUUGCUUACCUUCAAAAUUCAAAUCAAUUAUUUUUUGUGUUAGCUUGAUAUUAAUGAUUUGAGGCUAAAAUUUUGAAUUUGGGUGUGUAAAUUGAGUUAGUGGUUUUUUUUUUUUUACUAGCUUUUGAGUUUCUCUUGGGUUAAUUUUGAAUAAUAGAAAAAAAAAAUUCCUGACAUGUUUGGAUUGAAAACGUUAUUCAACCGUGAUGCCCUGUUACGAUUGAGAUUGAAAUUCUCUCCCGCCUUUUCCUCGAUAGUGGUUGCAGACGAUGACUUUAUAGCGAAAUAGCGGCCGCUAUAUUAUUACCCCACUGCUAUUUGAAACAUGGCCAAGGUCCAAAACCUAGAAUCCAUUCACAAGUCUCAUUUGAUAGAAAACUAAGUAGGAAAAUAUCAUUCCUAAUAGGCUUAACCUCAAAUUUUCCAACCUUUUCGCCAAAUUAAAAUUCUAGCUUUUAUCAUUGACUAAAGUUAAGAGGUUUCGCCCAAAACUAGAUGAGAAAACUUUUACUCUAAGAAUUUAUGCCUUCAUCGAUGACAUUUUGUGGAGUCUUAACAUAUAUUUUUUAAUUCCUUUAACAAGAGGAGGUAAUAAAUCCAAGGUAGCAAUUGAAUGUUUGUUGCUAGAUUAUGAUAAAAUAUAAUAAGAUAAUAUUAUGAAUAGG
Molecule: long non-coding RNA, 940 nt
Filed under: Durio zibethinus
Lineage: Eukaryota; Viridiplantae; Streptophyta; Magnoliopsida; Malvales; Malvaceae
Description: long non-coding RNA (DZIB_LNC001872)
Source: RNAcentral